UGCUAGAAACGAAACAACAACAAGGAAUUAUAACCCAGUGCAUAUAGAUAGAAAUUGAUAAUGAUAAACAUGAAGAUUUGUCUUAUAUGGUUAUUUCUCCAAGACCAAUCAAAACUCGCCGAUUCAAUCAUCACAGUUCACACAACGGAAGGGUCAACGGUAAAUCUGGCAUUCAAAAUCAUUAACUCAGAGAUAGAUGUCCGUUUCAACGAAAGAUAUAUAUACUGUUAUGCAGACCAUAAAAAGGUUAUCACCAACAAAUACGACAUGAUAGUACGUCCGAAUAUUUUAGAAAUUCAGAAAACAAAUGUAACAACAAAUGACACAGGGAUUUACUGGUUAGACGAUCAAGGUCUAUCAGCUGCAUUAAAGCUAAACA
Molecule: long non-coding RNA, 379 nt
Organism: Mytilus californianus (California mussel)
Lineage: Eukaryota; Metazoa; Mollusca; Bivalvia; Mytilida; Mytilidae
Exons: 3
Source: RefSeq, a predicted model, not a curated record